AGAAUCAACGCUGGCGGCGUGCCUAACACAUGCAAGUCGAACGCGGUUACCCCGCAAGGGGUAACUGAGUGGCAAACGGGUGAGUAACGCGUGGGUGACCUGCCUUCGAGUGGGGGAUAACGUUUCGAAAGGAACGCUAAAUACCGCAUGACAUCCUGCCUUUGGACAGGCGGAGAUCAAAGCCGGGGAUCGCAAGACCUGGCGCUUGGAGAGGGGCCCGCGUCCGAUUAGCUAGUUGGCGGGUAAUGGCCCACCAAGGCGACGAUCGGUA
This 271-nucleotide ribosomal RNA is filed under the name uncultured bacterium. RNAcentral's name for it is "partial small subunit ribosomal RNA". It matches the Rfam family "Bacterial small subunit ribosomal RNA", at positions 26 to 285 of the family's 1533-position model. The record is from RNAcentral.